GGUGGAAGUGCAGUAAUGCAUGGAGCUGACUGUUACUAAUCGGGUGAGGGCUUGACCAAA
Molecule: ribosomal RNA, 60 nt
Filed under: Ruminococcus sp. AF31-16BH
Lineage: Bacteria; Bacillati; Bacillota; Clostridia; Eubacteriales; Oscillospiraceae
Also listed under: 1 other name
Description: partial 23S ribosomal RNA
Source: RNAcentral